This 461-nucleotide ribosomal RNA is filed under the name uncultured bacterium. Its description in RNAcentral is "bacterial SSU rRNA". It matches the Rfam family "Bacterial small subunit ribosomal RNA", at positions 28 to 507 of the family's 1533-position model. The record is from RNAcentral.
GAUGAACGCUGGCGGCGUGCCUAACACAUGCAAGUCGAACGGGAACCCUUGGAUUCGUCUGAGGGGGAGAGUGGCGAACGGGUGAGUAACACGUAGGUGACCUGCCCCGAAGAGGGGAAUAACCACUGGAAACGGUGGCUAAUACCUCAUGUGCUCGGUGGUUCGUUCCAUCGAGGAAAGCUCCGGCGCUUUGGGAGGGGCCUGCGGCCCAUCAGGUAGUUGGUAGGGUAAUGGCCUACCAAGCCGAUGACGGGUAGGGGGCGUGAGAGCGUGAUCCCCCACACUGGCACUGAGACACGGGCCAGACUCCUACGGGAGGCAGCAGUGAGGAAUAUUGCCCAAUGGACGCAAGUCUGAGGCAGCAACGCCGCGUGGGCGAUGAAGGCCUUCGGGUUGUAAAGCCCUUUUCUGGGGGAAGAGAAAGGACGGUACCCCAGGAAUAAGUCUCGGCUAACUACGUG